GCGUUCGAUCAUACCAACAUUUGUGCUCCAGAUCCCAUCAUAAAUCCAUAGUUAAGUGUGCUUGGACCAGAGUAGCACUGGGAUGGGUGACCUCCCGAGAAGUCCUAGUGUUGCACCCUU
Molecule: ribosomal RNA, 120 nt
Filed under: Pseudotaxus chienii
Lineage: Eukaryota; Viridiplantae; Streptophyta; Pinopsida; Cupressales; Taxaceae
Source: RNAcentral